Molecule: transfer RNA, 71 nt
Filed under: Bos taurus (domestic cattle)
Lineage: Eukaryota; Metazoa; Chordata; Mammalia; Artiodactyla; Bovidae
Also listed under: 4 other names
Rfam family: tRNA
About the family: Transfer RNA (tRNA) molecules are approximately 80 nucleotides in length. Their secondary structure includes four short double-helical elements and three loops (D, anti-codon, and T loops). Further hydrogen bonds mediate the characteristic L-shaped molecular structure. tRNAs have two regions of fundamental functional importance: the anti-codon, which is responsible for specific mRNA codon recognition, and the 3' end, to which the tRNAs corresponding amino acid is attached (by aminoacyl-tRNA synthetases). tRNAs cope with the degeneracy of the genetic code in two manners: having more than one tRNA (with a specific anti-codon) for a particular amino acid; and 'wobble' base-pairing, i.e. permitting non-standard base-pairing at the 3rd anti-codon position.
Source: Rfam by way of RNAcentral
UCCCUGGUGGCUCAGUGGUAAAGAAUCUGCCUGUAAUGCAGGAGACCCGGGUUUGAUCCCUGGGUUGGGAA